AUGCAGUCGAGCGAAAUGGAUUAAGAGCUUGCUCUUAUGAAGUUAGCGGCGGACGGGUGAGUAACACGUGGGUAACCUGCCCAUAAGACUGGGAUAACUCCGGGAAACCGGGGCUAAUACCGGAUAAUAUUUUGAACUGCAUAGUUCGAAAUUGAAAGGCGGCUUCGGCUGUCACUUAUGGAUGGACCCGCGUCGCAUUAGCUAGUUGGUGAGGUAACGGCUCACCAAGGCAACGAUGCGUAGCCGACCUGAGAGGGUGAUCGGCCACACUGGGACUGAGACACGGCCCAGACUCCUACGGGAGGCAGCAGUAGGGAAUCUUCCGCAAUGGACGAAAGUCUGACGGAGCAACGCCGCGUGAGUGAUGAAGGCUUUCGGGUCGUAAAACUCUGUUGUUAGGGAAGAACAAGUGCUAGUUGAAUAAGCUGGCACCUUGACGGUACCUAACCAGAAAGCCACGGCNANCUACGUGCCAGCAGCCGCGGUAAUACGUAGGUGGCAAGCGUUAUCCGGAAUUAUUGGGCGUAAAGCGCGCGCAGGUGGUUUCUUAAGUCUGAUGUGAAAGCCCACGGCUCAACCGUGGAGGGUCAUUGGAAACUGGGAGACUUGAGUGCAGAAGAGGAAAGUGGAAUUCCAUGUGUA
This 642-nucleotide ribosomal RNA is filed under the name Bacillus sp. AT-MI-54. RNAcentral describes it as "bacterial SSU rRNA". It matches the Rfam family "Bacterial small subunit ribosomal RNA", at positions 55 to 677 of the family's 1533-position model. Lineage: Bacteria; Bacillati; Bacillota; Bacilli; Caryophanales; Bacillaceae. The record is from RNAcentral.